GCCUCCGAUGAUGAUCAAAUCAUAACUUUCGUUCUUCCGAGAUUUAUCAUGCGGAGAAAUUAUGGAGACCUGAACUGAGCUGAGGC
Small nucleolar RNA from Arabidopsis lyrata subsp. lyrata, 86 nucleotides. It matches the Rfam family "Small nucleolar RNA Z159/U59". Rfam says of the family: This family consists of several snoRNA Z159 or U59 sequences which are members of the C/D class of snoRNA which contain the C (UGAUGA) and D (CUGA) box motifs. This family seems to be found exclusively in rice. C/D box small nucleolar RNAs are known to act as a methylation guides for 18S ribosomal RNA in plants. NCBI's taxonomy places the organism in Eukaryota, Viridiplantae, Streptophyta, Magnoliopsida, Brassicales, Brassicaceae. The record is from Rfam.